GAUGAACGCUGGCGGCGUGCUUAACACAUGCAAGUCGAACGAUUAAACCCAGCUUGCUGGGUGGUUUAGUGGCGAACGGGUGAGUAACACGUGAGUAGCCUGCCCUUAACUCUGAGUUAAGCCUGUUAAACUGGGUCUAGUACCUAAUAGUUGCUCCUACCGCCUGGUGGGUUUUAGAGAGAUUGAUCGGUUUUGGAUGGACUCGCGGCCUAUCAGCUUGUUGGUGAGGUAAUGGCUCACCAAGGCGACGACGGGUAGCCGGACUGAGAGGGUGACCGGCCACACUGGGACUGACACACGGCACAGACUCCUAAGGGAGGCAGAAGUGGGGAAUAUUGAACAAUGGGCGACAGCCUGAUGCAGAGACGCCGCGUGACGGAUGACGGCCUUAGGGUUGUAAACCUAUUUCAGUAGGGACGAAGCGCAAGUGACGGUAACUGAAGCAGAAGGCCAGGCCAAAUAAGUG
RNAcentral lists this ribosomal RNA (466 nucleotides) under uncultured bacterium. RNAcentral's name for it is "partial 16S ribosomal RNA". It matches the Rfam family "Bacterial small subunit ribosomal RNA", at positions 28 to 507 of the family's 1533-position model. The record is from RNAcentral.